CUACGGGCGGCUCCAGUGGGGAAUAUUGGACAAUGGGGGAAACCCUGAUCCAGCAAUGCCGCGUGUGUGAAGAAGGCCUGCGGGUUGUAAAGCACUUUCGGUUGGGAGGACUGCUUCUAGCACUAAUAUUGUUGGAAGUUGACGUUACCUUCAGAAGAAGCACCGGCUAACUCCGUGCCAGCAGCCGCGGUAAUACGGAGGGUGCAAGAGUUAAUCGGAAUUACUGGGCGUAAAGCGCGCGUAGGCGGCUAGAUCAGUCGGGUGUGAAAGCCCCGGGCUUAACCUGGGAACUGCAUCCGAUACUGUCUAGCUUGAGUACAGGAGAGGAGAGUGGAAUUCCACGUGUAGCGGUGAAAUGCGUAGAUAUGUGGAGGAACACCAAUGGCGAAGGCAGCUCUCUGGCCUGAUACUGACGCUGAGGUGCGAAAGCGUGGGGAGCAAACAGGAUUAGAUACCCGGGUAGUC
RNAcentral lists this ribosomal RNA (465 nucleotides) under uncultured bacterium. Its description in RNAcentral is "partial 16S ribosomal RNA". It matches the Rfam family "Bacterial small subunit ribosomal RNA", at positions 339 to 795 of the family's 1533-position model. The record is from RNAcentral.